UGCAAGUCGAGCGGAAACGAUGGUAGCUUGCUACCAGGCGUCGAGCGGCGGACGGGUGAGUAACGCGUGAGAAUCUGCCCAUUUGUGGGGGAUAACUCGGGGAAACUCGAGCUAAUACCGCAUAAUCCCUACGGGGGAAAGCAGGGGACCUUCGGGCCUUGUGCAGAUGGAUGAGCUCGCGUCGGAUUAGCUUGUUGGUGAGGUAAAGGCUCACCAAGGCGACGAUCCGUAGCUGGUCUGAGAGGAUGAUCAGCCACACCGGGACUGAGACACGGCCCGGACUCCUACGGGAGGCAGCAGUGGGGAAUCUUGGACAAUGGGGGCAACCCUGAUCCAGCCAUGCCGCGUGUGUGAAGAAGGCCUUCGGGUUGUAAAGCACUUUCAGUAGGGAGGAAGGCUUACCGCUAACAACGGUGAGUACUUGACGUUACCUACAGAAGAAGCACCGGCUAAUUUCGUGCCAGCAGCCGCGGUAAUACGAAAGGUGCGAGCGUUAAUCGGAAUUACUGGGCGUAAAGCGCGCGUAGGCGGUUUGUUAAGUCAGAUGUGAAAGCCCCGGGCUCAACCUGGGAAUUGCAUUUGAAACUGGCAGGCUAGAGUGCAGUAGAGGGAGGUGGAAUUUCCGGUGUAGCGGUGAAAUGCGUAGAGAUCGGAAGGAACACCAGUGGCGAAGGCGGCCUCCUGGACUGACACUGACGCUGAGGUGCGAAAGCGUGGGGAGCAAACAGGAUUAGAUACCCUGGUAGUCCACGCCGUAAACGAUGUCUACUAGUCGUUGGGAAUCUUAGUAUUCUUGGUGACGAAGUUAACGCGAUAAGUAGACCGCCUGGGGAGUACGGCCGCAAGGUUAAAACUCAAAUGAAUUGACGGGGGCCCGCACAAGCGGUGGAGCAUGUGGUUUAUUCGAUGCAACGCGAGAACCUUACCAGGCCUUGACAUCCUUGGAACUUUCUAGAGAUAGAUUGGUGCUUCGGGAGCCAAGUGACAGGUGCUGCAUGGCUGUCGUCGGCUCGUGUCGUGAGAUGUUGGGUUAAGUCCCGUAACGAGCGCCACCCUGUCUCUAGUUGUGCAGCACUUCUGGGUGGGAACUCUAGGAGACAUGCGCGGUUG
This 1110-nucleotide ribosomal RNA is filed under the name uncultured Alcanivorax sp. RNAcentral's name for it is "bacterial SSU rRNA". It matches the Rfam family "Bacterial small subunit ribosomal RNA", at positions 56 to 1160 of the family's 1533-position model. The record is from RNAcentral. Lineage: Bacteria; Pseudomonadati; Pseudomonadota; Gammaproteobacteria; Oceanospirillales; Alcanivoracaceae.